GCCGCAGAUCUUAAAGCACUUCAGAGUCGACCGUCGACACGCUGCAAUCGAGUCACAUAAGCAUGAUAAUGAAAAAUUACGCGUGUACCCUAACUCCGUAUGAAAACUUGUGUUGCUGAGCGCAAAAUUAGUGCAACUGAUUUUCUUUUACUGAGAUGACGAAACGAGGUGAUGUCAGCGUCAGUUUUCGUUUUGUUAGUAAAGGCAUGAAGGAGGAAUGGUAAAGGAUUAUGAUGGCGGCACUAGAUGGCUAGCCACUGGAAACUCGCAGCACAAGUUUAUGCAGGUUGGAUAGUGGAUAAUGGCCCAACUCUUCUCACAAUUUUCCUGUUCAUGCAAGAAACAUUAAGUUAGCUCAAAAGCUAAUCAAAUACCUUGACGUGACUUGGCAUUGUCACUAGCACAAAUAAAGCUACAGUAAAUUCCUGCAAAAUUAGUAGAUACAAGUAUUUGUGCAUGGGUAGGCUUGACUGGCUUUUUACAGAAACACAGGAUGGUUAACAUAAUUACAUGAAAUAGGUGAGUGUGUAAGAAAUGUUGAGUUUAUUUGUAGAUUAUCUUACGAUGAGAAAAAAUUGUAAGAUAGAACAAUUUAUUAAACAUUGGUGUUGCAGUAGGAUUGUAGAGAAAAUGUAUCACAUCAAGUAAAUCAAGAUGGCAAGGGAAAAAAAAAAAAAAAAAACAAAACAGAUUAACACCUAAUGACCAUGAAAAAAGGCAAGCACUAUUUCAAGUAAAAUGGCUUCCACAAUUGAAGGAUAUCCUCCACUGUCAAAGUAUUAGAAGCUUUGGGAAUUUUAUCUGACCAGAAAUAGUCCAAAUAAUUUGCAUUGAAAAUGAAAGAAUGUAUGCAUGAAGGUGAAACUGUAGUUUCUUGGAAAAAGUGUUCACAGUUGCAUUAAAGCAACAGUCAUUCAAAGUAUGGAGUAGGUCUUCACAUAAUUUGAUAUUUAUGUAAUCAAUGAUCUUUUUCUGUUGUCACUGUCAGAUAUCUGGGCAGCAAAGGGGUUUAUGUAAGAUCCGAAUUGACGAUUUGUUGAAGCACGUAACUUUAAAUUGAAGGCAAUUGCGAAUAACGAUAGUAAACCGGAUGUUGGUAGUGAAUUUUCUUCUUGACGUAUCUUAGUGUGUGCUAACCUGUUAGCAUUACUUAGGAAGUCAUGCAUACUGGUAAAUUUAAUUGCAUUUUCAUCUCUCCUAAAGCUAAGAUUAUAUACAUUUUCACAAUACGGUUAUCGUUUUCUUGUUGUACUGGCGUUUUUAAUUAUUUGAUUAAU
Long non-coding RNA from Daphnia magna, 1277 nucleotides. RefSeq lists it as uncharacterized. Lineage: Eukaryota; Metazoa; Arthropoda; Branchiopoda; Diplostraca; Daphniidae. The transcript is spliced from 5 exons. The record is from RefSeq and is a predicted model, not a curated record.